RNAcentral lists this ribosomal RNA (484 nucleotides) under uncultured bacterium. RNAcentral describes it as "partial 16S ribosomal RNA". It matches the Rfam family "Bacterial small subunit ribosomal RNA", at positions 30 to 507 of the family's 1533-position model. The record is from RNAcentral.
AUUGAACGCUGGCGGCAGGCCUAACACAUGCAAGUCGAGCGGAUGAAGGGAGCUUGCUCCUGGAUUCAGCGGCGGACGGGUGAGUAAUGCCUAGGAAACUGCCUGGUAGUGGGGGAUAACGUCCCGCAACGGGCGCUAAUACCGCAUACGUCCUGAGGGAGAAAGUGGGGGAUCUUCGGACCUCACGCUAUCAGAUGAGCCUAGGCCGGAUUAGCUAGUUGGUCGGGUAAAGGCCUACCAAGGCGACGAUCCGUAACUGGUCUGAGAGGAUGCUCAGUCACACUGGAACUGAGACACCGUCCAGACUCCUACGGGAGGCAACAGUGGGGAAUAUUGGACAAUGGGCGAAGGCCUGAUCCAGCCAUGCCGCGUGUGGGAAGAAGGUCUUCGGAUUAUAAAGCACUUUAAGUUGGGAGGAAGGGCAGUAAGUUAAUACCUUGCUGUUUUGACGUUACCAACAGAAUAAGCACCGGCUAACUUCGUG